GUAACCUUACCAGGUCUUGACAUCCCGAUGCUAUUUCUAGAGAUAGAAAGUUACUUCGGUACAUCGGUGACAGGUGGUGCAUGGUUGUCGUCAGCUCGUGUCGUGAGAUGUUGGGUUAAGUCCCGCAACGAGCGCAACCCCUAUUGUUAGUUGCCAUCAUUCAGUUGGGCACUCUAGCGAGACUGCCGGUAAUAAACCGGAGGAAGUGGGGAUGACGUCAAAUCAUCAUGCCCCUUAUGACCUGGGCUACACACGUGCUACAAUGGUUGGUACAACGAGUUGCGAGUCGGUGACGGCGAGCUAAUCUCUUAAAGCCAAUCUCAGUUCGGAUUGUAGGCUGCAACUCGCCUACAUGAAGUCGGAAUCGCUAGUAAUCGCGGAUCAGCACGCCGCGGUGAAUACGUUCCCGGGCCUU
This 415-nucleotide ribosomal RNA is filed under the name uncultured Streptococcus sp. RNAcentral describes it as "bacterial SSU rRNA". It matches the Rfam family "Bacterial small subunit ribosomal RNA", at positions 965 to 1382 of the family's 1533-position model. The record is from RNAcentral. Lineage: Bacteria; Bacillati; Bacillota; Bacilli; Lactobacillales; Streptococcaceae.